CCUACGGGACGCAGCAGUAGGGAAUCUUCGGCGAUGGACGAAAGUCUGACCGAGCAACGCCGCGUGAGUGAAGAAGGUUUUCGGAUCGUAAAACUCUGUUGGUAGAGAAGAACGUUGGUGAGAGUGGAAAGCUUAUCAAGUGACGGUAACUACCAAGAAAGGGACGGCUAACUACGUGCCAGCAGCCGCGGUAAUACGUAGGUCCCGAGCGUUGUCCGGAUUUAUUGGGCGUAAAGCGAGCGCAGGUGGUUUAUUAAGUCUGGUGUAAAAGGCAGUGGCUCAACCAUUGUAUGCAUUGGAAACUGGUAGACUUGAGUGCAGGAGAGGAGAGUGGAAUUCCAUGUGUAGCGGCGAAAUGCGUAGAUAUAUGGAGGAAGACCGGUGGCGAAAGCGGCUCUCUGGCCUGUAACUGACACUGAGGCUCGAAAGCGUGGGGAGCAAACAGGAUUAGAUACCCGCGUAGUC
This 465-nucleotide ribosomal RNA is filed under the name uncultured bacterium. RNAcentral describes it as "bacterial SSU rRNA". It matches the Rfam family "Bacterial small subunit ribosomal RNA", at positions 338 to 795 of the family's 1533-position model. The record is from RNAcentral.